Molecule: long non-coding RNA, 2481 nt
Organism: Vespa crabro (European hornet)
Lineage: Eukaryota; Metazoa; Arthropoda; Insecta; Hymenoptera; Vespidae
Exons: 2
Source: RefSeq, a predicted model, not a curated record
AAUAAAAUAAAAAAAGAAACAAAAAAACAUGAGGUAAAAAAUAAAUCGAUAUGAAAAAAUUCGAUUUUCUUUUAUCCCUCAAGAGAAGAGAAUAAAUGAUCAUAAUUUCAAUAAUCAUAAUUAAUCAACGAUUAUGGAAAAGCGCCAACACCAUCUCAGUAAGAAUAGUACCAGAAUGGAUAAUUAAAUUAAAAGAUAUUAUGGCUAAGGAAAUAAAAAGAAAGUUUCUCUAAGGGUGGUUGAUCUAUCAGAUAUAAUAUAUCUUCCUUUCGAGUGGAAUAUCGUUUUAUCGUAAAGUCGACGAUCUCUGUUAGCGUCGAAUAGCAAAGUAGAAAAAUAAGAAGAAGAAUAAAGAAAAGAAGAAUAAAAAGAAGAAAAAAAGAGGUAGCUAUUCUCUUUUUUUUUCUCUCUCUCUCUCUCUCUCUCUCGGAAAACAGCAUUUCAGUGUUCGAUUAAACGAAUAAAAGGGGUAAGCUAAGAGAAAAGAGGAGAAGCGAGAGAUAGAAUAGAAAAGAAAAGAAGAGAAGAAAAGAGAAGAGAAAAGAAAAGAAAAGAAAGAAAAAGAAAAGAAAAGAAAGAAAAAGAAAAGAAAAAGAAAAGAAAAGAAAAGAAAAGAAAAGAAAAGGAGAGAAAAGAAGAGGGAAAAAAAAGGUCGAACGGCACGCUGCGACAAGGACGACGGCGUCGGCUGCGAGAAACACGGACGAUCGGGUGCUGGCGAAGAGGGUUACUGGUGGUGCAGGGUAGUGAGUGAGUGAGUGAGUGAGUGAGUGAGAGAGAGAGAGAGAAGAGGGUAUAAGCUGAGGGUGAGAGGCCCGCCGGAGAUGGUUGGUCGUUCGCUCUCCGGAGGUGGAUGCAUAGGGGUGGUGCCAUCGGUUCGGAGGCAAGAGGGAAAGCCAACGGCAGAAUCCAACCUCACCAAUCAAUACUUAGGGUUCAAGGGCAUCGCCCGACCAAUUAUACCCUACUAAUUGCCGCGAAACGAGAGAAAGAAAUCCUUUUACUCGGACUUUAUUUCUAUCUCUCACACACACACACACACACACACAUAUUAGAUUAGGACGCAUAACGGAAGGUUGAAAAUAUAUUUUUAUAUAAAGAAAUUCAAAUUUGAAUUUUUAUUAUCCAUCCUCCCUCCCUCCCUCUUCCUUUUCCCCUAUCGCAGAUAUAUUAAUAAAUUAAAUAUUACUACACUUAACACACAUUGAUCUCUUCUCGAUCAAUUGAUAUAUUUUUGAUUAUUAAUCUUUAUAAAGAAAGAAUUACAAGUAAAAGAAACGAUGAGUUAUUCUAAUUGAAAUCGCGGUGACAUAUAUAUAUAUAUAUAUACAGAGAGAGGGAGAGAGAGAGAGAGAGAGAGAGAGAGAGAGAGAGAGAGAGAGAGAGAGAGAGAGAGAGAGGAGGGUCGCAGGGAGGAGCGAAAAGGGAUGACCGAGUAGACGUUGAAACCGAAGGUAUGCAGGCGACAGAGAGAAUCGAUCUAUCGGAACUCCGCCGCGGGACGAGGAUAAUCUCGAGAAGGGUAGAGGAGCGUCAGGAGGGGAGGAAGAGGAGGAGGAGGGCGUCGUUGUUUGGCCGUCCACGCGAGACCGCGAGCCGCUCCGGUAUUGGUUAAUACCGCACUCUCUUCCUCGGAGCUGUCCCUUUUCUUCGAGACGAUUUAAGCCGCUUUGUGAGCGGCCUUUGCGCGCGAUUCGCUACCGCCGCCGUUUCUUUGAAUCCUAUCGAGGAUCUAUUUCCCCCCCCACCCCCUUUUUUCCCUCUUUUCUCUUACCUUCCUUUUUUUCUUUUUUCUCUUUCCUUUUUUUUCCUUCUUCUCAACACGCCAUUUUAACGACGACGAAACGUUUACUCAAAAUUUUCGGACUGACUAAACCAACGAUAUUAUCAUAGACGUUUAAUAAUGUAUAUAAUGUAAUAAUAAAAAUAUUCGAUAAUCUAAUAACAGAGAUAAAAGAAAUAUGAGGUUAGAUAUUUUUGACGAGAUUUUAUUAAUCCGCACGACGAUACGAUCGAACGAUUUAUCAUGUCGGAUUUCUUUUAUUCUAUCUUUGCAACGUAAGAAAUCUGUGAUUCCACGUGGAUUGGAAAGUGCGAAGAAAAAGAAAGAAAGAAAGAAAGAAAGAAAAAAGAAAGGGAGGAAGGAAGGAAGUAAGGAAGAGUCAGAGUGUGGUGCAAUAAGGUGGACGAGAAAGAGAGAAAGUAAAAGGAGGAGAAGGAGAAAGGAGAAGUAAAAGAAAAAGAAACAGACGAUUCGAGAGCAAAAAGGAGAGCAGAGCUUGGCGUGAGAGGGUCGCCGUAGAUAAAAAGAAAAGAAAGAAAAAGGAAAACCAUUCUAACUUCCUCUCUAAAAUACGAACUUUGAGAAGAAUUCCUUUCCCAAUUACAAUCUUUCCGAAAAAGACUAUUUUCCUUUCGAAUAGAUCCUUAGAAAAAAGAUAAAUAAAUAAAUAAAAAAAUAAAUAAAAAAAAAAAAAAAAA